AGAGGGCGCGUCCGCAGGCGGGAUUCAACGCUGCGAGAACAAGGCUUGGCUCGGUCACGCCUCCCGUGUCCGUGGAGGUUCAUGAGACUAACAGGAAGGGCUGCCAGAACAGAUCUAAAAGCAAAAAAAAAAAAAAAAAAAAAAAAAGUUGGAAACGCGCUAAACCACACCUGCCUCAGCCUGCUGUUCUCCUGUGGUUCCUGUUGUUCCCAUGAGCCCUCCCUCUAGGCUGCAGGGCCGGGACCUCGCUGCCGUUGGCCAGCAGCAGCACCUGAUGCUUCCCUCUGUUCCACGGGGAAGCUGGAGCUGUGAGGAGCGAGGCGCAAAGAGCUGUUGGUGUGCUGCGGCAAACUGCACUGUCUCGGGUAGGAAGUCAAACCAAGAAAGCAGGAAGGGACAAAAAGUGGGUACUUGGCUAAUGAUCAUCCUAAAACAUAGAAGACUUCUCAGCCCAGAACAAAAGUGCUUGAGUUGGAGUUUGGAUGAUGCAGAGAGUUUGUGACUGGAACAUGAAAAUCUGGGUGCCCAUCCAGGGCAAGUGGGAGCCUGCCAGAACAGUCCUGUGACUGCUGGACGCAUCUCCGUGUACGAGCAGCGCUCUCUGGGCACUCCACCCCCACAUGAGACAAGAGGGAGCCGCAGACUGCAUGUUGGUAGGCUUACAGUUGCCAUGAGGCUUCUUCGGGUGACAUACACGAAGUUGCUGGGGAGGCCCUACCAAUGGCACACGGAAAAGAUGUCUUUGACUACAUGCAUUGGAAACACCGAGAGCCAAAGGCUCCAAAGAACACCUUUCUGACUUAAUAUCGAAGAGCAUGGUGGAUGUGUUUCUAAGGCUAAUGUGGUGUUGCAGGAAGCAGCUGAGAGCAGUCAAUAGCCCAGUGUUCCAGUCAUGCUGAGACAGAAGGAGAAGAAUGAGCUGCUGAGAUCCCCUAGAGACUGGAGAAAGAGGAAGAGACUCCUGAUAGGAGGAUUAGUGCAACCCCAAGAUCAUUAUAUGGGUACUGUAACUGGGGAAACAGCAAGCUGACAGAAGAAAGCUUUGUGUGAAAUAAAGGGUCCUUCCCAUCA
This is a long non-coding RNA of Dromaius novaehollandiae (emu), 1071 nucleotides long. RefSeq lists it as uncharacterized. The transcript has 3 exons. The record is from RefSeq and is a predicted model, not a curated record. NCBI's taxonomy places the organism in Eukaryota, Metazoa, Chordata, Aves, Casuariiformes, Dromaiidae.